AAGUGCGAAUGCUGACAUAAGUAACGAUAAAACGGGUGAAAAACCCGUUCGCCGGAAGACCAAGGGUUCCUGUCCAACGUUAAUCGGGGCAGGGUGAGUCGGCUCCUAAGGUGAGGCUGAAAAGCGUAGUCGAUGGGAAACAGGUUAAUAUUCCUGUACUUGGUAAAGCUGCGAUGUGGGGACGGAGUAGGUUAGGUUAUCGCACUGUUGGAUAUGUGCGUUUAAGUUGGUAGGUGGGAAGUUUAGGCAAAUCCGGACUUCCUUAACACAGAGAGAUGAUGACGAGGCUCUACGGAGCUGAAGUAACUGAUACCACACUUCCAGGAAAAGCCACUAAGCGAAAGGCUUUACUAAACCGUACUGAAAACCGACACAGGUGGUCAGGUAGAGAAUACUCAGGCGCUUGAGAGAACUCGGGUGAAGGAACUAGGCAAAAUAGCACCGUAACUUCGGGAGAAGGUGCGCCGGCGUAGAUUGUAAGGGCUAGCCCCUGAAGGUUGAACCGGUCGAAGAUACCAGCUGGCUGCAACUGUUUAUUAAAAACACAGCACUCUGCAAACACGAAAGUGGACGUAUAGGGUGUGAUGCCUGCCCGGUGCUGGAAGGUUAAUUGAUGGUGUCAUCGAAAGAGAAGCACCUGAUCGAAGCCCCAGUAAACGGCGGCCGUAACUAUAACGGUCCUAAGGUAGCGAAAUUCCUUGUCGGGUAAGUUCCGACCUGCACGAAUGGCAUAAUGAUGGCCAGGCUGUCUCCACCCGAGACUCAGUGAAAUUGAAAUCGCCGUGAAGAUGCGGUGUACCCGCGGCUAGACGGAAAGACCCCGUGAACCUUUACUAUAGCUUGACACUGAACAUUGAAUUUUGAUGUGUAGGAUAGGUGGGAGACUUAGAAGCAGUCACGCCAGUGAUUGUGGAGUCAUCCUUGAAAUACCACCCUUUAACGUUUGAUGUUCUAACGAAGAUGACGAAACGUGGUCUCGGACAGUGUCUGGUGGGUAGUUUGACUGGGGCGGUCUCCUCCCAAAGCGUAACGGAGGAGCACGAAGGUUUGCUAAUGACGGUCGGACAUCGUCAGGUUAGUGCAAUGGUAUAAGCAAGCUUAACUGCGAGACAGACAAGUCGAGCAGGUACGAAAGUAGGUCAUAGUGAUCCGGUGGUUCUGAAUGGAAGGGCCAUCGCUCAACGGAUAAAAGGUACUCCGGGGAUAACAGGCUGAUACCGCCCAAGAGUUCAUAUCGACGGCGGUGUUUGGCACCUCGAUGUCGGCUCAUCACAUCCUGGGGCUGAAGUAGGUCCCAAGGGUAUGGCUGUUCGCCAUUUAAAGUGGUACGCGAGCUGGGUUUAGAACGUCGUGAGACAGUUCGGUCCCUAUCUGCCGUGGGCGUAGGAUGAUUGAUUGGGGCUGCUCCUAGUACGAGAGGACCGGAGUGGACGCAUCACUGGUGUUCCAGUUGUCUCGCCAGAGGCAUUGCUGGGUAGCUAAAUGCGGAAGAGAUAAGUGCUGAAAGCAUCUAAGCACGAAACUUGCCAAGAGAUGAGUCAUCCCUGACUUUAAGUCAGUAAGGGUUGUUGU
Molecule: ribosomal RNA, 1572 nt
Filed under: Haemophilus influenzae
Lineage: Bacteria; Pseudomonadati; Pseudomonadota; Gammaproteobacteria; Pasteurellales; Pasteurellaceae
Description: bacterial LSU rRNA
Rfam family: Bacterial large subunit ribosomal RNA
Source: RNAcentral